This is an RNA transcript of Glossina fuscipes, 715 nucleotides long. RefSeq lists it as uncharacterized. Lineage: Eukaryota; Metazoa; Arthropoda; Insecta; Diptera; Glossinidae. The record is from RefSeq and is a predicted model, not a curated record. The transcript is spliced from 3 exons.
UUUAGCGUAUGUUAGAAAUUAUUCUCUUCAUAGAAUUUGCUUUUUACGAGAGGGUCUGUUAAACGCAACUUGAAAGAAGGAAAAAAAAAAGAGGGAAAUGAAAAAUGACCUGAGAGUUUUAUAUCUAAAUGCUCUUUCUCCUUCUUCAUAUUACUCGUUCUCUGUUUUCUCUCCCUUCCAUUCUCUGUUUAAUUACUGAGAGUUUCACUUAUAUAUAUGCUGAAUGUUCUACCCACUGAGUUAACUAAUGCUAACUAAGCCAGAUAAAUGUGUAAUGUUGAGUUGGCUCCUCUUUUUCUUGCUCCCCUCUCCGCGUUUUAGUAUUAAAGCAGCACAUUCAAUAACAACAACAAUAACAACAAUCAUAUGUAAAAUACAAUAGAGAAACGCAAAAAUGUUUGUUGUUGCUUUUUUAGCAAAUGUUUUCGUUACACAAAAACAAAAAACUAAAUGUGUGUAGUAGUGCACGAGUAUAUAAAUGAAAGGUUUCUGUGUGUGUGCGUGUGUGUGGACGAUAUACAUUUUAGUGUUUAUUGUGGACUUUUUAGAUUGAGAUACAUUUUUGGUGUAUGUACGUUCGCUCGUUACGUUUCGUACGUUUAACUCGUGCGCUUGUAAUUUUUGGCAAAAACUGUUUGGAUUAAAUCAAAAAGUAGACGUCAAUGCAAGUUUUAACCCAAAAAUCCAAAGUUAUCAUCCAAAUUCUAGACAACAA